AAACUACCAUUUGGUGUCCUGCUGAGACAAGAAAAUAUUUUCACAACUCAAGACAAGUUAAAUAUCCACUUAUGGGAACAGUGCUGAAGGCCUGGACUAGGAUGGUAGCAAUGGAGACAGACUAAAGAAAGAGAUGCAAUCAUUCCCUUGCAUAUGGUCCGUAUGAAGACGGGAUCAUUACAGGAAAGGUGAAGGAGAUACAGUCAUUAUGCUCUAUAUACACCCAUUUUUAUGGCUAGCGGCUGAAGAUGGGAUGCUUUCUUUGCUGGAAGACCUAUUACCUGUUAGGUUGCAAAAGAUGUGAUCAUCUUCCUAAACAAUAAUUUAGAGUCCCAUAACAAUUUUAAGUGUGCUGUUCAUGAAAAUUUGAAUACAUUGUAUUGGGAAUAUAAUGGAAGUGAGAUGCCUCAUGUCGUGAGAAAAUCUGACAUAAACUCCUUAAGCAUGAGAGGCCAUGUGGGUAUGGAAGCCCUGAAAGGGAGGAAAAAACAGCCAGACCCUAGCUGUUCCAGUCAUCCCAACUGAGGUGCCAGACUUGUGAUUGAGGCCAUCUUGCAUCAUCUAGGCCUAGUAGAGCUGCCAACUGACUGCAGACACAUGAGUCAAUCCAGCUAAUGCCACAUGGAGCAGAGACAAGCCGCCCAGCUGAGCCCAGUCCAGAUGACAGAAUCAUGAGCAAAUAAGGUUGUUGUUCUUUUAAGCCACUAAAUUUUCGGGUGAUUUGUUACACAGUAAUAAAUAACUGAAACAACUA
This 754-nucleotide long non-coding RNA is filed under the name Homo sapiens (human). RNAcentral describes it as "non-protein coding LINC01370:6". The record is from RNAcentral. Lineage: Eukaryota; Metazoa; Chordata; Mammalia; Primates; Hominidae.